This 854-nucleotide ribosomal RNA is filed under the name Clostridiales bacterium 41_12_two_minus. RNAcentral describes it as "bacterial LSU rRNA". It matches the Rfam family "Bacterial large subunit ribosomal RNA", at positions 1 to 864 of the family's 2925-position model. Lineage: Bacteria; Bacillati; Bacillota; Clostridia; Eubacteriales. The record is from RNAcentral.
AGUUAAAGCUAAGAAGAGCAUAAGGUGAAUGCCUUGGCAUCAGGAGCCGAAGAAGGACGUGACAAGCUGCGAUAAGCUACGGUAAGCUGCAAAUAAGCGUUAUAGCCGUAGAUUUCCGAAUGGGGAAACCCACAUACCGAAGAGGUAAGUAUCAUACAGUGAAUACAUAGCUGUAUGAAGGGAACCCUCCGAACUGAAACAUCUAAGUAGGAGGAGGAAGAGAAAUCAAACGAGAUUCCGCGAGUAGUGGCGAGCGAAAGCGGAAGAGGCCAAACCGGAAGUAGUAAUACUUACGGGGUGUGGACUGUGCAUGGUACUGCGGACGAUAGCCGAAUCGUUUUGGGAAAGCGAUCCGGAGAGAGUGAAAGACUCGUAGGCGAAAUUGAAAGCAGACUGACAGAAUCCAGAGUAUCAGCGGGCACGUGGAACCCGGUGAGAAGACGGGGGGACCACCCUCCAAGCCUAAAUACUACCUGAUGACCGAUAGUGGAGAAGUACUGUGAAGGAAAGGUGAAAAGAACCCCGGGAGGGGAGUGAAAGAGAACCUGAAACCUUAUGUUUACAAGCACACAAAGUCGAGAGACGAUGUGGUACUUUUUGUAGAACGGUCCGGCGAGUUAAUGUAUGUAGCGAGGUUAAGAUAUUAAGUAUCGGAGCCGCAGGGAAACCGAGUGUGAAGAGCACGAGAGUUGCAUACAUUAGACCCGAAACCGGGUGACCUAUCCAUGAGCAGGUUGAAGUUGAGGUAAAACUCAAUGGAGGACCGAACCGACCCCCGUUGAAAAGUUGGCGGAUGACUUGUGGAUAGCGGAGAAAUUCCAAUCGAACCCGGAUAUAGCUGGUUCUCCCCGAAA